AUGAAAGAAGAGACGCGCUGUGCUGUAUAAAAUAUUUUCUCCAGGUUUACUUUAUCUGAUCCAUUUCAUCAUUGUGUUUUCACAGCCUGAGCCCCCCCCCCCCACAACGAGGCAGUCACUGCACAUUUGGCCGAGACUCUAGCUGCAAGUCCGGAUUUGCAGUGUGGAAAAUGACGCUAUUGUCUCUGCCUGUACUAUGACGUACUAAGACGUACUAUGAGCCAGUCUGAAGGAACUUCCCGUACAUCCAACCGGACCUUGCAGCUCUUGCAGCAGCAUUGAGAAGUUCAGGAGUCGACAGAGAAGAAAGAAGCUGAUUGAAGCGGGACAGAUGACAUGGAUCCAUCCUUCCACAGCCAGGAGCUCACCAACCUGUGUGCCACAAGACUAGAAGCUACACUGAAUCUCACAGCUACACACCACAGAUGUCUACACACUGGGGCAGAUUCGGACAGAGUCCCACAAAGAACUUAUGACCCAUA
Long non-coding RNA from Hippoglossus stenolepis (Pacific halibut), 482 nucleotides. RefSeq lists it as uncharacterized. The transcript has 3 exons. NCBI's taxonomy places the organism in Eukaryota, Metazoa, Chordata, Actinopteri, Pleuronectiformes, Pleuronectidae. The record is from RefSeq and is a predicted model, not a curated record.